AUUGAACGCUAGCGGGAUGCUUUACACAUGCAGGUCGAACGGCAGCGCGGACUUCGGUCUGGCGGCGAGUGGCGAACGGGUGAGUAAUGUAUCGGAACGUGCCCAGUAGCGGGGGAUAACUACGCGAAAGCGUAGCUAAUACCGCAUACGCCCUACGGGGGAAAGCAGGGGAUCGUAAGACCCUGCACUAUUGGAGCGGCCGAUAUCGGAUUAGCUAGUUGGUGAGGUAACGGCUCACCAAGGCGACGAUCCGUAGCCGGUUUGAGAGGACGACCAGCCACACUGGGACUGAGACACGGCCCAGACUCCUACGGGAGGCAGCAGUGGGGAAUUUUGGACAAUGGGGGCAACCCUGAUCCAGCCAUCCCGCGUGUGCGAUGAAGGCCUUCGGGUUGUAAAGCACUUUUGGCAGGAAAGAAACGUCGCGGGCUAAUACCCCGUGGAACUGACGGUACCUGCAGAAUAAGCACCGGCUAACUACGUG
Molecule: ribosomal RNA, 484 nt
Filed under: uncultured bacterium
Lineage: Bacteria
Description: partial 16S ribosomal RNA
Rfam family: Bacterial small subunit ribosomal RNA
Source: RNAcentral